Molecule: ribosomal RNA, 1000 nt
Filed under: Clostridiales bacterium enrichment culture clone EC8-10-1_D11
Lineage: Bacteria; Bacillati; Bacillota; Clostridia; Eubacteriales
Description: bacterial SSU rRNA
Rfam family: Bacterial small subunit ribosomal RNA
Source: RNAcentral
GAUGAACGCUGGCGGCGUGCCUAACACAUGCAAGUCGAGCGGAGUGACCCAAGAGAAAUUUUCGAAUGGAUCUUGGAAUCACUUAGCGGCGGACGGGUGAGUAACGCGUGGGCAACCUGCCCUGUACAGAAGGAUAACAUUGGGAAACCAGUGCUAAUACUUCAUAACACUUCUGAAAGGCAUCUUUUGGAAGUCAAAGUUUUUCGGUACAGGAUGGGCCCGCGUCUGAUUAGUUAGUUGGUAAGGUAACGGCUUACCAAGACGAUGAUCAGUAGCCGACCUGAGAGGGUGAUCGGCCACACUGGAACUGAGACACGGUCCAGACUCCUACGGGAGGCAGCAGUGGGGAAUAUUGCACAAUGGGGGAAACCCUGAUGCAGCAACGCCGCGUGAGCGAUGAAGGCCUUCGGGUCGUAAAGCUCUGUCCUAAGGGAAGAUACAGACGGUACCUUAGGAGGAAGCCCCGGCUAACUACGUGCCAGCAGCCGCGGUAAUACGUAGGGGGCAAGCGUUAUCCGGAAUUACUGGGCGUAAAGGGUGCGUAGGCGGUUCGGUAAGUCAGAGGUGAAAGACUAUUGCUCAACGAUAGCAAGCCUUUGAAACUACCGAACUUGAGUGCAGGAGAGGAGAGUGGAAUUUCUAGUGUAGCGGUGAAAUGCGUAGAUAUUAGAAGGAACACCAGUGGCGAAGGCGACUCUCUGGACUGCAACUGACGCUGAGGCACGAAAGCGUGGGGAGCGAACAGGAUUAGAUACCCUGGUAGUCCACGCCGUAAACGAUGAGUGCUAGGUGUCGGGGGUCAAACCUCGGUGCCGGAGCUAACGCAAUAAGCACUCCGCCUGGGGAGUACGCUCGCAAGAGUAAAACUCAAAGGAAUUGACGGGGACCCGCACAAGUAGCGGAGCAUGUGGUUUAAUUCGAAGCAACGCGAAGAACCUUACCUAAACUUGACAUCCUUCUGAAAGGCCCCUAAUCGGGCCCCUCCUUCGGGACAGAAGUG